This 253-nucleotide ribosomal RNA is filed under the name uncultured bacterium. Its description in RNAcentral is "partial 16S ribosomal RNA". It matches the Rfam family "Bacterial small subunit ribosomal RNA", at positions 524 to 776 of the family's 1533-position model. The record is from RNAcentral.
UACGAAGGGGGCUAGCGUUGCUCGGAAUCACUGGGCGUAAAGGGUGCGUAGGCGGGUCUUUAAGUCAGGGGUGAAAUCCUGGAGCUCAACUCCAGAACUGCCUUUGAUACUGAAGAUCUUGAGUUCGGGAGAGGUGAGUGGAACUGCGAGUGUAGAGGUGAAAUUCGUAGAUAUUCGGAAGAACACCAGUGGCGAAGGCGACUCACUGGCCCGUUACUGACGCUGAUGCGCGAAAGCAUGGGGAGCGAACAGG